AGGUGAUAUACACGAUGACCUGGGCCAGAAGAAAGAAAUAACUAAGAGAAAAGACCCUGUGGAUUUCUCAGUCAAAUCUCAAGCAGAGAGAGCAGUUCAGUUCUUUGAUUACAUCUGAUGGAAUCCAUUAAGCUGGGUGAUCCAAAGUUCGUGAAUUUUUUAGGUUACUUGCUCUCUGCCACACUGUAAUGUCAGAGGAGAAUAGUGCGGAUUUUUGGGUUUCUGGCAUGCUUGGGAAUUAUUCUUGCAAUAGGAAAUUCAAUCUGGGAGAAUGAAGUUGGGGGCCAAUUCAGAGCUUUCCUCUUUUGGAAUGAAGAAAAGAAGAACUCUGUGUUCUCAGGAUUCUUAACAUUUUGGUCAUAUAUUAUUAUUCUCAAUACAGUUGUACCCAUUUCAUUAUAUGUGAGGUAAGAUGAGAGUUUUUACUUUAAUGAAGUAAUUUUGUCUAAAGCUUUUGUUUCACACAAUCACUUUAGUUUGUUCUCAAAUUACAACAGUGAGGUAGAUGUCUCCUCUAAGUCCUUAUAAUUUUUCACAUCUGUUACAAAUGAGGCAACUUAGCUGUUUAAUUCUGUUUAACUUUUACAUUUUCAAGUAUGCUACAUGCAUUCUAUUUUCUUCUUGAUUCCAUCGGGUUUCUUAGGACUGUUUUCCUUUGGAAUACGUGGACUACAAUAUAAUCCCAUGUAACCUGUUCAAUUAGAAUUGGGUUGAUUUGGGGUAAGAAAAGAAGAGCAUUAAUGGGUAUCUAUAAAGAUUGUGCCUCUCCAUCACCACUCUGGCUCCAGACACCUGGAUUUAGGUCCUUUUCCACUACUUACUAGCUCCAUAACAUUCGGCAAGUUACUUCACCAUCCAGUGUCUCAGUUUCCUUACUCCAAAAGUGGAGAGCAUAAUAGGUCUAGUUCAUAGGAUUGUACGAGGAGUGAAUAAAUGCCUGUAAAACUCUUAGAGGGAUAUCCAAUAUACUGUAAAAGCUUCAUGGAGAUUAGCUUCUUCUAUUAUUAUUGGUACUCAUAAAUGAGUGCACACAUAGUAGGUAGCAUUCUUAGAUAAGAAAUAUGGUUCAUAAUUCCCACUACAUCUUGAUCUAUCAUUUCUAGGUAUAGUUUGUGGAACUCAUCUCUCUCUAUACAUGUGCAUGUGCGUGCGUGCGUGUGUGUGUAUGUGUGUGUGUGUGUGUUUGAUAAGACUUAGAAUUUGGCCAUGGAGUCUGGAAUUGAGACAUUCUUGAUGCUAACCCUACCAUGAUUGAGCCAGACAGCCAGAGACACCACAGCCAAGAUGAGGCUUGGUUGUUUGACACUCCUCAUCGUCAGUACUUUAACAAUAUACAAAAUCACCAGUUCUGAAUCCCCACUAAUCUUUGCUAGCCUCUUUUUUUUCUGUCUUUCCAGAAACUUAGCUGUGAUGAAGCAAAGGAAGUUCCAUGCACAAAAUUUACCCUUGUUUUGGAUAGCGGUCAGGAAACUGAAAUGUCAAGUUGUGGGAAAUUGACUUGAAGUUGUGGCAUGUGGCCGGACCACCACAAAUUGCUUUGGGCUCUUUGGAGCUGCCGUCAGAGUGGGCUCUAUUUAAACCGUAUCCUCCUGGCUCAUCUUUGAUUCCGAGGACCUCUCAUGUUUGAAUCCAAUUAUUAAGUCUGUAGUAAAUCCUGCUCUUUGCCAGAAGAGCUAUGGUCAGCUUUUAUAGCUUUCCUUUUAUGUCCUAAACAAAUAAUAAAUGUGCAUAGUGGCUUACCAUCUGCACAUGUGCAGCUUCAUAUGUCUUAUGAAGAAAGUAUAUUCUGCAUACAUUCUUUCUUUGAAGUGCACUGGCAUUUUUUAUUUAAUGAUUUGAAAGAUUGUUUUUUUUUUCUUUUUCCUGAGAGAGCAAGGCUACAUUUUCAGGUUAACAUUUCUUUGUAUUUUUAAUGCGUAGUGGUUGACAGAAAACCUACUUGUAGUAGUCCAAACCCAAUUUCUGGUCUCGGCAUUACAAAUAGUAACUGUGUGAUCUUAGAGAAAGUACUUGGCUUCUUUGUGCCUUAGUAUGCUUGUUAAAUAUGCAGUACUUUAUAAAAGGAGGGGAUUAAAAUUGAUUUCUGGGUUCUUUUCUGCUACAAAUAAUACUACCUUGCCUUUAGAUAGCAUUCUAUAUGCAUAUAUGCUCAUAUAUAUCUAUAUCUAUAUCGAUAUCUA
Non-coding RNA from Castor canadensis (American beaver), 2180 nucleotides. The record is from RefSeq and is a predicted model, not a curated record. Lineage: Eukaryota; Metazoa; Chordata; Mammalia; Rodentia; Castoridae.